UCUAUGUUCCUUGGAACAGGACGUCACAGAGGGUGAGAAUCCCGUGCGAUGAGAUGACCCGGGUCUGUGUAAAGUUCUUUCGACGAGUCGAGUUGUUUGGGAAUGCAGCUCUAAGUGGGUGGUAAAUUCCAUCUAAAGCUAAAUAUUGGCGAGAGACCGAUAGCGAACAAGUACAGUGAUGGAAAGAUGAAAAGAACUUUGAAAAGAGAGUGAAAAAGUACGUGAAAUUGUUGAAAGGGAAGGGCUUGAGAUCAGACUUGGUAUUUUGCAUGCUGCUCUCUCGGGGGCGGCCGCUGCGGUUUACCGGGCCAGCAUCGGUUUGGAGCGGCAGGAUAAUGGCGGAGGAAUGUGGCACGGCUUCUGCUGUGUGUUAUAGCUUCUGACGAUACUGCCAGCCUAGACCGAGGACUGCGGUUUUUACCUAGGAUGUUGGCAUAAUGAUCUUAAGUCGCCCGUCUUGAAACACGGACCAAGGAGUCUAACGUCUAUGCGAGUGUUUGGGUGUAAAACCCGUACGCGUAAUGAAAGUGAACGAAGGUGGGGGCCCAUUAGGGUGCACCAUCGACCGAUCCUGAUGUGUUCGGAUGGAUUUGAGUAAGAGCAUAGCUGUUGGGACCCGAAAGAUGGUGAACUAUGCCUGAAUAGGGUGAAGCCAGAGGAAACUCUGGUGGAGGCUCGUAGCGGUUCUGACGUGCAAAUCGAUCGUCGAAUUUGGGUAU
Molecule: ribosomal RNA, 719 nt
Filed under: Candida albicans
Lineage: Eukaryota; Fungi; Ascomycota; Pichiomycetes; Serinales; Debaryomycetaceae
Description: LSU rRNA
Rfam family: Eukaryotic large subunit ribosomal RNA
Source: RNAcentral